CAUGUUCUUUUGUUUAUAAUUUAAGAUUUGACCUGCCCACUGAUUAAAUUGAAUGGCCGCGGUAUUUUGACCGUGCAAAGGUAGCAUAAUAAUUAGUUUUUUAAUUGAAAGCUGGAAUGAAUGGUUGGACGAGAAAAUUUCUGUCUCUGAUUAAUUUUAUUAGAAUUUAAUUUUUAAGUAAGAAAGCUUAAUUGUUUUUAAAAGACGAGAAGACCCUAUAGAGUUUUAUAUAAAUAUUUAAAUAUUUUAUUUAGAAUCCAAUUAUUAUUUAUUUAUUUAUAUUUUAUUGGGGUGAUAGAAGGAUAAAAAUAACUCCUUUUUUAUUAAAACAUUAAUAUAUGAUUUUUUGAUCCAAUUAUUUUGAUUAUAAGAUUAAAUUACCUUAGGGAUAACAGCGUUAUCUUUUUAGAGAGUUCUUAUCGAAAUAAAGGAUUGCGACCUCGAUGUUGGAUUAAAAUUAAUUUUUGGUGCAGAAGCUAAAAUAUUAAGUCUGUUCGACUUUUAAAAUUUUACAUGAUCUGAGU
This 524-nucleotide ribosomal RNA is filed under the name Ptilodactylidae sp. UPOL RK0832. Its description in RNAcentral is "partial 16S ribosomal RNA". It matches the Rfam family "Bacterial large subunit ribosomal RNA", at positions 1822 to 2610 of the family's 2925-position model. The record is from RNAcentral. Lineage: Eukaryota; Metazoa; Arthropoda; Insecta; Coleoptera; Ptilodactylidae.